GUGAGAUGGCCCGCGGAGCCAACGCCCCAUCUGUCCCUCCAGUGUGGGAAAGACAUGUCCUUAAUGCAACUGAACCACCUCGAGUUACAUGCAGACACCGAGCGUACGAGGAGGUAGCUGGCUCCACGAGCUCAAUUCUUACCCAUGAUCAUCUGGUUCAUCGUUCAUUUUUCUUUAGCCCUUCAUAUAACGGCUCUUCGAAGAUUGGUCCCACCUCACCUCAGCCAUUGUUCUAGUUUCGAAAUAUUAACGGCAUGUCUUUGGAUAUGUCGGACCAUUGCCCUCCAACCAGAUCCUAAUGAAGAAAUGCGCAUAAUUUGCCUCGUCAACGCACGUGAAAAAUUCAACCCUCCAUUAUUACCAAGAGGUUACUAUGGUAAUGGUUUUGGUCUUCUAGCAGCAGUAGCCACUGCGGGGGAACUUUCGAGAAAGCCAAUUGGAUAUGCUUUGGAGCUGGUAAGGAAGGCUAAGGCGGACAUGACUGAGGAGUACUUGCGAUCCACAGCAUCGUUGAUGGUGAGCAAGGGAAGGCCUCUUUUUACUGUGCCAGGGACCUACAUAGUGUCGGACUUGAGACGUGCCGGACUUGAAAAGGUAGAUUUCGGAUGGGGAAAUGCUAUCUAUGGUGGGACUGCAAAAGCCAUCCCUGAACUUGCAAGCUUUUAUAUUCCGUUUACAAAUAAGAAAGGAGAAGAUGGGAUCGUUGUACCAUUUUGUUUGCCAUCUCCUGCUGUGGAAAGAUUUUACAAGGAGCUUGAAGGCAUGCUAAAGGGACAGCUAGUUAGCGGAGGAGCAAAUUCCAAGUUAAUCGUAUCUUCUUUAUAGGUUAAAUUGUUUACUCUUAUUUUCUAUGUACCACAUAUCAUUUAUGUAUGCUGCGUUUGAAUUUCAUUUUUUAAUAUUAGUACGACAUUUACCUUUUAUGUCCAUUCAGCAUGUGUUAUAUAUGAUUAUUAAUAAUAUGAGUGUUUGUUUUUGUAAUUCUUUUUAUGGCUGUUAUUUAAAAAAAAUAAUUUAAAUUGUAGUUGGAUAUCAAAUAAUCAAAGAGGAUAUUAAUUUUUUUUCAUACAUGACAUUAAACAUUUAAUAUAUAAGUAAGAUCAACUACUUGUAACAUAAAAACUUUUAUAAUUCUCUCAUCAAACUUAAAGUAGUUUGACAAGAAUGAUGAUUGUUGUUGAAACAUUAUUUUAUAGGUUUUACAAUCAUUUAUGGCAAAAAAAAAAAAAAACCAACGACACACAACAUCUAUAACUGAGGUUUUAAGAAGAGAAGAGGUCAAUGGAAGAAAUUGUGAACUAUUGAUAGAAUCAAGAAGACGAUAAGAAGCAGGUCAGGAAGAGUAGAGAGGAGAGGAGGGAUAUUUUGGUCAAGAGAUAAUUGAACGGUCUUCAAUGUUCCAUAAGUAAGUAUGAACCUAUAUUGUGGGACCAUAAUUAUUAUAUGGGUCUUACAUUCUUCAACCAACAUUUUAAAUGUUUUUCAGAGAAUCAUUAAUUGAGGAUGCGCCACAUCAUAUUUUCUACUACAAAAAUAAAUACAUUCAUAAACACACGGUUGACAAAUUUAUGCUUGAAGAAAAGGACUCCAUUUCAUAUUUAUAACCGAUGGACUUUUUCCUAAUUCUUACACAUGAUCAUCUGGCUCAUCCUUCGUUUUUCUUUAGCCCUUCAGAUAUAACUGCUCUUCGAAGAUUGGUCUCACCUCACCUCAGCCAUGUUCUAGUUUCGAAAUAUUAACGGCAUGUCUUUGGAUAUGUCGGACCAUUGCCUCCAACCAGAUCCUAAGAUAAUGAAGAAAGCUUCAUAAUUUGCCCUCGUCAACGCACGUGAAAAUUCAACCCUCCAUUAUUACCAAGAGGUUACUAUGUAAUGGUUUUUUCUUCUAGCAGCAGUAGCGACUGCAGGUGAACUUUUGAAUGACCAAAGGUCAUUUUGGAUCAUGUAAUCUACAGGAUCCACGGCUAUGUUAGGUCCUGCAGAGAGGCAUACCCAAGGUUAUGUUGGGUCCUCCAGUCUCUAUAACCUGAAGCUAGUUUAGGUUCUACCCGACUCCCCAGACUCAAAGCUAUUUUGGAUUCUAUACCCGGCCAAACCCUAUGCUAUUUUGAGUCUUGCCCCGAUCUAACCCAAGGCUAUUCUUGGUCCUGCAGAGGCUAGGAUCCAAGGAUAUUUAGGGUUUUGCCCGGCCGGAACCAAAACUAUUUUGAGUUUUGUCCAACUCGAAUCCAUAGUUAUUAAGGUCCUGAACCAGCCAGAACCCAAAUCUAUUUGGGUUCUGCAUAAUAUUGGACCCAACAUAGAUUUUAUAGUAUUAAUAAUAAGAGUAAACAGAUAAGGGAGGAAGAAAUUAUUAAGGGAGCAAGAAAUACUGAUGCAUAUCAAACACUACGAAGUCUAUCAAGCCAUCAUAAGAGUAGACAAAUAGCAAAAUUAUAAGCUAUUAUAUUGGUGAAACCUACCAUGAUUAUUUGUAUGUUCUGAUAUAUAUAUAUAUAUAUAUAUAUAUAUAUAUAUAUAUUUUAUAGUUGUUAUAGUUACUAUAAAAUUACUUUCAAAAUUUUAUUAGAAAAAUGAUCUCAAAAUUUUAAUUUCAAAUCGUAAUCUUUCUUGUUAGUGCAAGUUGAGGAGGAAAAAGUAACAUCAUAAAUGUUAUAUUUAUUAGGUUUAAUAUUAUGUUCCUGUUUUGGGUUGAUGAUCUAACAAUUCCAAUCCACUAGUCAAAUAGGCAUAAUUCGAUAAUACAUCUAGGUAUACGCUGUCUAAUUAAUUAUGCAAAUUGGCAGGUGUCACGACUCAUGUGUGGUGGUUUUCUCUUUGUCCUCCGCCUCAACCAUACCAUGAGUGAUGGCCCAGGAUUAGUGCAAUUCAUGGCAGCGGUGGCUGAGAUGGCCCGCGGAGCCAACGCCCCUUGACAUGUCCUUAAUGCUACUGACCCAUUGUUAUCAAUUCUGUUUUUUUCAUAAGACUUUUGUUUUUUUCAAUUGAAAUGUAAUGUUUUGUUUUAGAGUGUUUGACGUGUCGUUUCAGGAUUGUAUUGUUCAUACACAAACAUAUAUAUAUAUUCUCAACAAACCUAAUUCAAAUUCAAGAUAAAUUAAUUAUAAAUUAUGCAAUACAAACACAAUACCAGAUAAAUAUAAUUUUAAAAUUUAAAUUUUUUUCUAAAUAGUCAAGAUUAAAUAAAUUUUUAACUUAAAGUAAUUCAACUUAAACAAAAUAUCAAAAUAUUAUAAAAGUAAAAUGUUUUAACACAAAUAUUUUAAAUAUAAAGUUAGGUCAAUGUUAUCAAGGCUAAUGGAAUCUAAAGCAUUCCUUGUUUUGCUCAAAUUCCUGUAGUAUAAACAUGAAAAAAACAACAUGAAUAUAAACCAUAUAUAUUAGUGAUAAAUCUAAUUUUAAAAAAUUAAUAUUAUCGUCAAUGAAAAUAGUAAUGAAAAAGAACUUUUUAUACUUGAGUGGUUUAAUUAAUUAAAUUGAACAAUGUUCAAAUUGAUUCAAUGGCUUUUCAAGAGUAGAACGAAACAUGUGGAAUGAAACCGGAAUGUUCCGGCCGAAAUUUAGUCAAAAAAUCCGGAACGGACAAAGAUUUAAAAUGAAACGAAAAUUAUUUUGUUUUGUUUCAUUUUUUAAAUUGAUAUAGAAUAUUUUGAUCAUUUCAGAUAAAACAGAAUGAAAUUAAUAACCUUACCUCGAGUUGCAUGUAGACACCGAGCGUACGAGGAGGUAGCUGGCUCUAAGAGCUCAAUUCUUACACAUGAUCAUCUGGCUCAUCGUUCAUUUUUCUUUAGCCCUUCAUAUAUAACUGCUCUUCGAAGAUUGGUCCCACCUCACCUUAGCCAUUGUUCUAGUUUCGAAAUAUUAACGGCAUGUGUUUGGAUAUGUCGGACCAUUGCCCUCCAACCAGAUCCUAAUGAAGAAAUGCGCAUAAUUUGCCUCGUCAACGCACGUGAAAAAUUUAACCCUCCAUUAUUACCAAGAUGUUACUAUGGUAAUGGUUUUUUUUUUUCUAACAGUAGUAGCGACUGUAAGGGAACUUUCGAAUGACCCAAGGCCAUUUUGGAUCAUGUAAUCUGGAGGAUCCUUGGCUAUGUUAGGUCAUGCAAAGAGGCCAUAUCCUUGGCUAUGUUAGGUCCUGCAGUCUCUAUUUUAGAUCUUGCACCGGACCGAGACUAUUUUGGGUCUAACCCAACUCCCUAGACCCCAAGCUAUUUUGGAUUUUGCACCCGGCCAAACCCCAUGCUAUUUUGGCCUCGACACGACCCAAGGCUAUUCUUGGUCCUGCAGAGGCCAGGACCCAAGGAUAUUUGGGGUCCUGCCAAAGGCUAUUUUGGGUCCUGUCCAAUCGGAACCAAGUCUAUUUUGGGUCUUGCCCAACUCGAAUCCAAGGCUAUUAAGGUCCUGACCCAGCCAGAAACCAAAUCUAUUUUGGGUUCUGCAUAAUGUUAGACCCAACAUAGAUUUUAUAGUAUUAAUAAUAAUAUUUAACUUGCCUAUUCAAGUUUUAAUUUUUUUAAUUAAUUUUAAAAAAUAUAUGGCUUUUCUUCGAUAGUAAUAAUAUUUUUUAAUUUACUAAUGAUAAUAAUAAUAUUUCAAAUAAUAAUAUUUUUUAGUAAUAUUUUGAAUUAUAAUAAAAAUAAUAAUACUAUAACAUGUUUAAUUCAAGAAAUAAAUAAUUAAUCAACUAGGUUGAAGAAUAUUAAUCGAUUAAGGAACUAGACUGCAAGAGUUUAAAUUCACAGGAAUGACUAAUAGGUUCAAUUCUACUCUAAAUGAGAAUUCUUUAUAGAUAAAACUAAUCAAGUCAUUUAGCGUAGUUAGAAAUUCACAUGAUUAUUAGUAAAUAAAAAAUUUAGUUUGUAUUAGGAUUCAAUAUAGCUCGUUAUCUUAUAUAGAUUACAUAUAUUUUUUAAUAUUAUGAUUAAAUUAAAAUAUUUUAAUCUCUAUAUAUAUAUGAUAAGGAGCUAUAUUGCAUCUUAAUACUAUAUAAACAAGCUCUUUGAGAUUCCUAACAAAGCUAUAUUGAAUCCUAAUACUAUAUAACUAAUCUCUAUGGUUCGGUAAAAUCAAAUUUAAUUUUUUUAAUUUUUUUUAUUGAAUUCCUUGUGGCUAAUGUCAUAACCCAAUUUUUGACCCUUUUAUUUUAAUUAUUUUAUUUACUGAAAAAAUAAUGAAAAACAAGUAAAAAUAGAAUAAAUAAAGAAUGAAUUAAAAUUUGGGUUAAGGGCAACAUCAUAACAUCAUUGGAAGUUUAAAGAUUUAAUUAAAUUUAUGACUAGUUUAAUUAAUCAAAUCAAGGGUUUAAUUGGAGAGGUGAUAAGUUUUGAGACUUAAUUAAGCUUAGAAUUAAUUUAAUUAAUCCAAUCAAGGGUUUAAUUGAAAAAUUAUCAAAGUAUAAGGCUGAUUCUGGUAAAGUUUGCAAGAAAUUAACAUCCAGGGACUGUUUUGUAAAAUUCACUGAAAUACAGGGGUCCAAUUAAAGUUUAUCCAAGGGCUUAAUGAAAAAAACUUUCAAAACGUCAAGGACCAAAACGCAAAAUAACCUUAACACUGUUCAUCUUCUUCACCCGAAAAAAAGAAAACUGCUGCCUUUACUCCUGCAUUAAAGACAGAGAGCACGGGACCGCAUGGCAUUCUAAGGGAGGAUAAAACCAGGAAAAAACGGCUGGAGGAGAGGAGACAGAACCAAGGGGCCAAGGGGAGAGAAACAGAACCAGGGAAGAUUUUGGUCCAUCAACCAGCAGCUCCUCGUGCUUUUACCACCAUCGUCUACAUCUUGAACGUAGAAGACUAGGCAGAGAAACAGGGGGGCAGACUAAAAAACUGGGGAAACAGAGAGACAAAGAGACUGGGAAUGAAAAAAAACAAUGAGGGGCUGACUGGAGAAAGCUUCAAUAGAGAGAGCAACGAGAACCAGAGGCAAAAAAAAAAAAACCAGGAGGCAGAGAAAGAAAAAGGAAAAGACGCAGGGGAAUGGGGACGAGGAAGACGAAAACGGGUUAGACAUAGAGAAGAUAAAACACAGGGCAUAAAACGCAAGAGAAGAACCCCUAUCUCCUCCCUCUGUUCAGAACUCCAUCACCAUCACCAUCGACCAUUGUCUUCGUCUUCGUCUUCCAAUAAUAGCACAAGCAGCAGCAUAGGAAAGAAGGACUCGAGAAGACACAGAAAAACAGAAACAGAGGAAGCAGCAGCAAUCGGGCAAGCCUCCGUCACCAUCAACCUCGUCUUCGCCUUCACCCCGCAGCUGCACCCGCCCCAACAGCUCUUUCCCCCAUCGUACUCUGGAGGCCAACGUCCACCAGCUCCUUAAUCGUGAGAGGUUUCUUCUCCGCUGUGAACAACAAGUUGAAUCGCCUGCCGGGAACAUCGUCUCCCUCAGCUUUGCCAGGUAAGUUCUUCAGCUUUCCUUCUUUAGGUAAAUUAAUUACCCUGCUACUGUUGCAUGCAUGCGUGAGUGAUUCACGCAUGCAUGCAACAGUGGCCAACCGAGUCACUGGUCUAAACCAGUGACCCAACCUUUUUUUUUAGACCAUGCUACAUAAAUAAAUAAAUAAAAUUGUUUCUUUUAAUAUAGAAUUUUACGGAUUUAUUUAUUAGCAUCAGAGUCAGGAAUACCGUACUUUUUGGGUUGCUCUAUAUUUAUCAACGUCAGAGUUGGAAAUAUUCAUAGGUGAAUAUUCACUGACGCCAAAGUCAAGAAUAAUAAUAUUGAUUUAAAUUAUUUUAUUUUUAUACUACGUAAUAUUUACCAAUGCCAGAGUUAGAAAUAUCCGUAGUUGAAUAUUCACUGGCGCAAGAGUCGGGAAUAUUAUAAGAAAAUAAUCAUAGCAUAAACUAAUAAACACUUAGCAAUUUAAGACGAAAUCAACAAUGCAUCUUGCCUCAAGCAGGAUGUUUAAGGGGUGAUAAUAUCUUUUCUUUUACGUAACCAGCCUCGAACCAUAUAAUCUCUGUUGACCAGUUAGGGUUCCUAGUGACCAUAAUACUAGGUGACUACUCUUUAAACAAAACAUUUUCUCCUAAAAGAACAAGAUCCCAGAAAUUUAUUCUUUUUCCAUAAUUCGAUCAUCAUUUUUAGGGACGCCGUGAUGUCGGGUGUAACAGCUAAUUUAAUGAGUUAUUAUUGAAAUUUGUAAUGGAAAAAAAUUUUUGGCAACAAAAAUUUUAAAUUUUAUUGAUUUUGCUUCUAAUUGAAUCUUUUUGUGGUAAAUUUAAUGAGUUAUUGGUUAAAUUUAUAAUAGAAAAGUAAACUUCAAAGAAAGAGAAAUUUGUAUGUAUAAUUCUUGAUUUAUUAUUUUAAAAACAUGUAUUAACUUUUUAGUUUACAAUUAAUUGUUUUCUAGAUAACCAAAAAAAAAUACAUUAACAAUAUCCACAAUUUUUUUUCUUGCAUUGAACAAUAAAAAAAUGCUCCAUCUCACAACGUUGAGCAAGUAGGCUAACACACACACACACACACAAGAAAUAUAGGGCAUGGAAAAAAUGCUAUAGCACUAGACACGAAUUACUAUUAAUGUAGUAGUGAAUAGAUGAUUUUUCCUUUCAUCAAAUUAGCUUAGAAGACUAAACUCCGGGGAAAAAAAUGAUUUUUUACAUGUUAUCCAUUUGUUAUUUUUGUUUUGAUUAGGGGUACAAUGAUAUUUUCCUUUUCUUUUUUGAUUAGUAAAAUACUUUCACUACCCUUAAAAGUAAAAAAAAAUAAAAAAAAUCAGAUAAUUAGUCUCCUGGUUGUUUUUUUUAAAAGAUUUUACAUUUUCUAGCACAAUGCAUUUUCUAAGAUAACCUUUCGAUAUAUAUAUAUAUAUAUUUUUUUUUUUUUUUUUUUCAAUCUCGUAACUUGAUGUUGAUUUUGAUUUUUAUUAGAAUAGGCUUUAUGGUUUUCUUUGUUUUUUUAUAGGGUUAUCUCGAUCUCAUGACGUAAUUUAUGAGUUUAACGGGUUAACCUAAGUGGGCUCGCAUCUUUUUAUUUUAGUUUUAAUUAUUUUUUUCUUUUGGAUUUUUUAUAUAAUUGAUUUUUUUUUAUCCUUCAAUAUUUGAUUUGUUAGGAGGUGAUCUUCAUUUUUUUUCCAUGUUAGUGUUUCCGGUCAAAUUGUCUGAGACAUAAGUUUUAUGGGUUAACACGGAUCAACAUUGUUUUUUUUUUUUUUUCAUGAUUCAACAUUGAUUUUUAUCAUUUGAUAUUAUUUUUUUCUCUUUCUUUAAAAUACAUUUGUGUUGACUGAACCUUAAAUGUUUUCUUAGUUUUUUUAUUCGACUUGCAGCAGAAUAUGGGUAGCGUGUAGAGAAUGAGACUGUGCUUGAAGAAAAGUACUCAAUUCCAAAUUUAUAAUUGUUGGAUAUUUUUUUUAAUUCUACCAUAACCGACAACUAUGUGAUGCGACCUGCCUACCUACUGAUUCAAAUUAACCAAGCUUCAUAUUUAUGUUUGAAUUGAUAGAUUAAUUAAUCCGCGAUUGACGAGGGAUAGGGAAAAAGAAAAACCAAACACAUACUUAGUAGAAAAUGAGAAAUGAUUGAAUGACACAAUUUCAAUUUGUGUGUUAACAUCAAUAUUCACAUGUGAAAUCGAUAAUAAUAUACUUAAAUAAGAAAAAAAAAACUAAAAUCAAUCAUGAAUAGUAUACCAACAAAAAUUGAAAAGUUUUAAUUAAUCAAGAAAAUCCAAAAGAAAUUGAUCAUAAGACCAAGUGUCAUGAUAUACAAAAAAAUAUGAUCGAUUGUAAGUAUUAAAAUUUAUAUGAAUGACUAGAAGGCUAAAUCCUACUCAGAGUUGGAAUCUCUUAUAAUUUAAAUUGACAAAGUUGUUUAGCUUAAAUAGGAAUUCACGUGAUUAUCAACAAAUGAAAGUUUAGCUUGUAUUAAAAAUUCAAUAUACAUUCUUAUCUUAUAUAUGUUACCAAUACAAUAUUAGAAUUAUAUACUUAGAUUAAACUUCUAACACUAUAUCCAUUAAAAUAGGGUCAUCCAACUACUAGAAAAAAUAGCUAGCCCCAUAAAUGUCAUUGCUUUUAUUUACAACUUUAUAUUUUUUUUUUGUUGCUUUCAAAUCAUUUUCUUGUUUACCUAUUGUUCUUCUCAUGUGAUGUUGCUUAGGAUAGAUAUGUAUUUUUUAAGAUUUAAAAUCUUGAAAUACCCACAAUUUAUUUAAUUUUAUGAGACUAUUACUUGUCUUUGCUUAUGUUCCUAGUUGUAGUUUCUUCUUAUUAGAAAGAAGAAAUUGAUAAUAGGUUACAUAAUUGAUCAGAAUAUUAAUAAUUAGUUAAUUAUGCUAUUUAAUAUGCCAUAUAGCCAGUUGGUUGGUUAGACAUAAUAUUAUUAUAUUCAUAUAAAUAUAUAUUUAUUAUCAAUAAAGACUUAAUGUAUCUUUAAUAUUCAUAUAAUAUAAGAUUAAUGAAUCUAGAGUAAAGAUAAAGUCUAUGAGAAAAAAUUAUUUUACAAAGAGAAUUAUAAAGUUGUUAUAAUUAUAGGAUUCCUAUUACAUCAAAACAUUAAUUCUAAAAUGUUCAUGGUUGAUACUCUCUUAAAUAUUGGACAUUCAUUAAAGCUGUAAAGAUUGAUACAUAUUAUGUUAUUUUCUUUAUGAAAGGAAGUACUUAUUCUCAUAAGUUAAGGUAUAAAUGAUACCUAUAACUAAUAGUAGUGACUGAGAAAUCCUUGGCCAAGGUGAAAUGAAAUUUGAAAAGAGUUUCAAAUCUUAUUCAAAUGAUCAAUGACUAUUAUGUAAAGAAUAAAUAUUAUUUAACAUGGUAGAUAUACUAUAUGCUUUAAUGUUAAAUUGAAAUAUUAUUGAUGAAAGGAUAUUAAUUACACUAAGAAAUCGAUCACUGAAAGGUUAAUUCAAAUCACUAAUGACUUUUCUAAUAUUUGGAGGAUCAUGACACGUUACAAGACGAUACACAUAAUCUUCAAAUAAAAAUUAAUCAAUUAUUGAAUUCAUAAUAAAUUAAAUUUUUUAAUUUAUUUAAUUAUAAUUAUAAUUUAUAUUUGGCGUAACAUAUUAGGAACCUAAUAGGACACACACAUUAAGAACCAUUAGUCAGAAAUUAAACUCGAAUGAUUUAAUUAAGUAUGACUUGAUUAAAAUAUAUUUUAGAAAUCAAGGACUAAAAUAUAGUUAAUACAUAGAUUAUAUUUCUAGACUUAAAAAAAUAAAGUACGGACUUAAUUGAGUUAAUUUCUUAAAUUAUCCUAAAUUAAUAUAUGAAAAUUUUUCAUGAGGCAAAUUGAUAUUUUAUCAAUUUAUAGAUUGUUUCAUAUUUCUCUAUAAAUAGUAAGUUAUGCCUCUUAUUUAGGGUAGUUGUCUGUUAGAAAGAAAAACUAUGUAAACAUAAUAAUAGAGUUAACACUCUAAGCAUAGUGUUUACUAAGAUGCGUCUUAAGAGUCACUUUAACAAAAUAACUCCUUUUACUCUGCCAUCCUAGUAACAACAGUUUUGCAAAUAGUUUAUGAAAUAGAAAACACAGUUUUUUUUUUUUUAACUACUACCCUUUCCCCCCAACCAAAAUGAGACAUUGUCCUCAAUGUCUUAAGGUAGAAAGAUAGAGUAUAGAAGACAUCACCUGAAAUAGCGAACACUGACAAACCUGAAACACACUUACACAAAUAUAAGAAACCACAAAACACAAUAAUAAAACCAAAAGACACAAAGUUUUUACAAACGAAGACUCAAAUCCAAUCUAAGCUUUUUACGGCUUUCCUUAGUUGACCAAUUUAGCGACUCAUGGAGGGAUCAAUUACAGGGAUGAAAGAUUGUAGUUGGUCAAUCAAUUGUUCAGCAGUAGCAGCAGAGAUUAUGAUUUGUCGUGCCGAAGAUGUUAGAAAUUCCUGUUCCACAGCUUGAUCAAGGAAAGACAACAACUUAUCAUAAAAACCAUUAACAUUUAACAAACCUAUGGGUUUAUGGUGAAUGUGCAGUUGGGCCCAAAGGAAAUAUGAAAGAUCUCUUCCAAUGUGCCCAGACCACCUGGUAAGGCAAUGAAGGCAUCAGCAUGGUUAAACAUGGUAUUCAGUCGAUCAGACAUUGUGGGACUGUAUUCCUCUCCAAUUGUUUUUCCAAUGAUGUCCCCUUGUGCUAAAGCUUUGGGGACAACCCCCAAAACUUGACUGCCUCCUAAAAAUGCAGCCAUUGACACUCCCAUUAACCCAAGGCUGCCUCCCCAUACACUAAAUGAAUCUUUCGCUCAGCUAGUACCGACCAAGAUGAUUUGCUGAUUCUAAAAACUCUUUUUCUUUCCCAGGACUGGAUCCACCAAAAACACAAAUUUUUUAUGUGAUGACUUGAGGAACCUGCCAUUUCUACACACUAUAUUUGAUGAAUGUAUGGGUUGAGUAGAAAUGAAGGGAAGGAAGAGAAGAAUUUAUAGAUGAGAAAUUGAAAAUGCAAUCAUACCACCUAUAUGUAGGCCAGCUGUAGUCUCACAAACUCUCUCUCUCUCUCUCUCUCUUUAUUAAUUAUUUAUUUUGAAAAAGCAUGUAUGUACAGGUAGUUGUGAUUGUGGCUCACAUCUUCCCUUGGUUUUACGUCCAAGAACGGCUUAAACGCCCUCUAUGGGUCGGGGAUAGGCUUCCCAUCCAGUUUUCUUAAAAACUGGCAAACAGGGUCUUUUUUAGUCAGAUUCCCAAGACUAAGUCGAUCAUGUUCUUUAUGGAAUUGUGGCCAUAAAUCAUGAAUUACACGAUGCACAUCUCCACUAGGAUGCGUCUCAAGUCAAAAAAAGAUUAUCUAAAGACCCCUUACUCAGGCCAUCCUUAAUGAAUUGUAUCUUAUCUUCACGGUUUACAGAUACCAUUCCUAAAGAACGACAUGUCGCAUUACAAGUCCAUCUGGCACAUCUGUGACAGACUUUCAGUCGUUUUGCACGACGUUUCUUUGCAAAAGUGCUUUUACCUGUUCCAGGCAUGUGUGAAAUGAAAGAAUUGGAGGACUCACCUGAUAAUCGGACCUUUGCUUCAAUUAGCCAGCGAAUAUCUUCAGGAAUUCCAUGAUUCAUUAACAACCUCAAUCUUGCACACCUAGCACGGUAAAUUUUGUAAUCGCAUUUGAGGCAGAGCGGGAAAAUACUUUUCAACUUUUCAAGAGUGGUGUCCAUUUUCAAAGAGAAUUGGGAGAGAUUCAAAGAAGGAGAAAGAGCAAGAAUUGCACAAAUAUACACAGAUAUCAGUUAUUUGGGAAACUGAAAGAACCGACUUAAGUCACGGAGUACCGUUAUCCGCCAUUUGACCGGGGUGAGAGAGACUAGCAAAACAAAAGUCACACAAAAACAAUGUGAGAAAAAGAAUCAAUCUUUAUAUACAGGAUCACUCAAUUCAAUAGAGUCAUUUUCAACUGAAAAAUUGUCAAAAUAAACUUUCAAACGAUGCCCAUUUACCUUGAAAACAUUGCCAUUCUUUGGAUUUCAAUAUCACAGGCCCCAUAUGGAUACACAUGUUUCACAAUAAAAGGACCGCUCCAUCUUGAUCUUAGUUUUCCAGGAAAUAAAUGGAGUCGAGAAUUAUAAAGCAAGACUUUUUGACCAACAUUGAAUGUUUUUCUCAGUAUUUUCUUGUCAUGAAACUCUUUGAUUCUUGCUUUAUGAAUUCUUGAAUUGUCAUAUGCAUCAUUUCUUAUUUCCUCAAGCUCAUUUAUUUGCAAUUUUCGCAGCUGACUAGCAUCAUCAAGGUUUGAAUUGAAAGCUUUAAUAGCCCAAUAAGCUUUAUGUUCAAUUUCCACAGGCAAGUGACAAGGUUUUCCAUAGACUAGUCUAUAAGGUGACAUACCUAAUGAUGUUUUAUAAGCAGUUCGAUAAGCCCAAAGUGCAUCAUUAAGUCUUAAAGACCAGUCUUUCCUAUUAGGGUUCACUGUUUUCUCCAAGAUCUGUUUGAUCUCCCUAUUAGCAAGUUCUACUUGUCCACUUGUCUGAGGGUGAUAAGGGGUGGCAACUUUGUGUGAUUCCAUAUUUCUUCAUUAAAGACUCAAAUGGCUUGUUGCAGAAAUGUGUUCCACCAUCACUUAUCAUGGCUCGAGGGAUUCCAAAUCGACUUAAAAUGUUUUCUUUCAAAAACUUUAUCACUGUUUUGUGAUCAUUGGUUCGACUUGGAAUUGCCUCUAUCCAUUUUGAAACAUAAUCUACUGCGACCAAUAUGUACAAGAAACCAAAUGAUGGAGGAAAUGGACCCAUAAAAUCUAUACCCCAAAUCAAAGAUCUCAAUGACAAGAAUAGGAUUUAAAGGCAUCAUGUGACGUUUUGAAAUAGAUCCCAACUUUUGACAAUUUUCACAAGUCUUGCAGAAUGCAUGUGAGUCUUUGAACAUGGUGGGCCAGUAAAAUCCACUUUGUAAGAUUUUUGCAGUUGUCUUUCUUGAUGAGAAAUGACCCCCACAUGCCUCAGAAUGACAAAAUUUAAUGACACUACUUACCUCAUUGUCAGGAAUGCAUCUUCGAAAUAUUUGAUCAGGACAAUAUUUGAAUAAAUAAGGGUCAUCCCAAUAAAAGUUCUUCACUUCGUUCAAGAACUUUCUUUUGUCUUGGGUACUCCAAUGAGCUGGCAAUUGUCCUGAAACAAGAAAAUUAACAAUAUUAGCAAACCAAGGCAUCGUAGAGACAGAAAAUAAAGAUUCAUCAGGAAAGUAGUCAUCGAUUGGUGUGAUGUCAGAUCUCGAAUCGGUUGUCAAUCUUGACAAAUGAUCCGCGACAACAUUUUCGGUGCCUUUCUUGUCUUUGAUUGUGAUAUCAAAUUCUUGAAGUAACAAAAUCCACCGCACCAAUCUAGCCUUAGAAUCUUUCUUAGAGAGAAGAUAUUUCAAUGCUGCAUGAUCACUAAAAACAACAACAGGUGAGCCAACAAGAUAAGAUCUGAACUUGUCACAUGCAAAUACUACUGCAAGUAAUUCUUUUUCAGUGGUAGUGUAAUUCAUUUGAGCACUAUUUAAAGUUUUACUUGCAUAGUAAAUCACAUAAGGUUUCUUAUCUUUUCUUUGUCCCAAGACAGCACCCACGGCAUAAUCACUAGCGUCACACAUUAUUUCAAAAGGUAAUGACCAAUCAGGAGGUUGAAUGACAGGAGCAGAAGUAAGCAAGCUUUUAAGUUUAACAAAGGCUUUUCACAAUGUUCAGUCCAUUCAAAAACAUUUAUCCUUUGUUAGAAGGUUACACAAUGGCUUAGAUAUUACACUAAAAUCUUUGAUGAACCUUCUGUAAAAACCAGCAUGUCCUAAGAAUGAUCUAACAUCUUUAACAGAUUUUGGUGUUGGUAAGUUGGCAAUUAACUCGAUUUUAGAUUUGUCAACCUCAAUUCCUUUCGAUGAAACAAUGUGACCAAGUACAAUGCCGUUUGUUACCAUAAAGUGACAUUUUUCCCAAUUCAGUACAAGAUUCUUCUCUUCACACCUGUUCAAAACCUUUUCAAGUUAGUUAAACAAUCAUCAAAUGAAUCACCAAAAACAGAAAAAUCAUCCAUAAAAAUCUCAAGAAAACGUUCAACCAUAUCACUGAAUAUGCUAAGCAUGCAUCUUUGAAACGUGGCUGGUGCAUUACAUAAUCCAAAAGGCAUCCUUCGAUAUGCAAAAGUACCAAAUGGACAUGUGAAAGUAGUCUUCUCUUGAUCUUCCAAUGCAAUUUCAAUUUGAUUGUAACCUGAAUAGCCAUCUAGGAAACAAUAAAAUUCAUGACCUGCAACUCUUUCUAGGAUUUGAUCCAUGAAAGGUAAAGGGAAAUGAUCUUUUCUAGUCAUUGAAUUAAGUUUCCUAUAGUCAAUGCACAUGCGCCAACCAGUAAUAGUCCUAGUUGGAAUUAACUCAUUUUUCUCAUUUGUUAUCACAGUGACUCCAGACUUUUUGGGUACAACUUGGGUAGGACUUACCCAUUUGCUGUCAGAAAUAGGAUAAAUGAUUCCAUUAUCUAGAAGCUUAAUGACUUCAUUUUUCACUACUUCUUUCAUAUUAGGAUUAAGCCUUCGUUGCAUUUCUCUAGAUGGUUUAGCAUUUUCCUCCAAAUAAAUCUGUGUGUGCAAAUCAAAGGGCUAAUUCCUUUUAUGUCAGCUAUGGUCCAUCCUAAUGCAUUUUUGUGCAUUUUCAGAGUUUGUAAUAACUUACCUUCUUGAUGUGCAUUAAGUUUGGAAGAGAUUAUUACCGGAAAAGUUUCAUUUUCUCCCAAAAAUGAGUGUUUGAGAUUGACUAGUAACGACUUCAAAUCAAGUUUUGGUGGUUGAACACUUGAAGGUAUAGACUCAAUUGAUCGUGAUGGCAAUUCUUCAAUUUGUGGUCUCCAAUUACAUGCUAUUGCUUCUUCCUGAAAAUAAACCAUUUGCAACUCGUCAGGUUCAUCAAUCUGUUUAAUAGCAUCCAACAAAGGUAUAUUGAUCCUUACCUGUUUGAAAAUUUCAAGGAUUUCAGAAUUGUGAUUGACUUUCCUUUGUUUGGUCAUGGCAUGAGGAAAUGGAAGUGCUGGCGGAGAAUCAGUGUUUUCUUCAAAACGUUCAAAUUCAACCCCUUCCUUACCCUCAAAGAUUGACUCAUCAUCUUUCUCACAAGGUUCAAGAGUGGGUUUUUCAAUAACCUUACCACUGCGAAGAGUGAUGACUGAUUUGACUUGAUCCAUGUGUUGGCUUUCGGAACUACUUGCAUUUGUAUUGUAUUGCCCCUUUGGAUUUUGCUGUGGUUGAGAUGGAAACUUACCUUUCUCUUGAAAACUGAGAGCAGAUGUGAAUUUUACAAGAGCAUCUUUAAAAUUUGUCAUGCUUUGAGUAAGUUGACUGUUGAUUGUCUCUUGCUUUUCAAUGAAUGCAUGCAAUGUUUCCUCAAGAUUUCUUCUAGGAGGUGGAGCAUAAGGAGGUGCAUAUCCAUGAGAAUUUUGGAAAUUAUGGUGUGCUUGAAACGAUGGCUGUGAAGUUUGUGCAUUAUUGUUAUCACUCUUCCAACUGAAAUUUAGGUGAUUUCUCCAACCAGGAUUGUAUGUUUGCGAGUAUGGGUUAUGAUUGGGCCUUUGGAAACUGUUUAAGGCAUGGGCUUGUUCAUGGAGACAUUCCUUGAAAGAAGGCAAAGUUGGACAGUUAUUGGUUGCAUGUUCAUUUGUUUAACAGAUUUGACACACAAUGUCUUGAACAGAUUUUAAUUGACCACUCUUUUUCAAUUCUACUGCCUCGACUUUUCUAGCUAAAGAUGUAAACUUGGCUUGGAGGUCAUGAUCUUCCCUAAGGUUAUACAUACCUCCACUAGAUGUAUGAGGUUGGGUUUUACUUGGUGCCUCAUAAGUGCCCUUAAUGUCCCAAUUUUGCGCAUUUUCAGCUAGCAAGUCUAGGUACUCCAUUGCUUCAUUAGGGUCUUUAUCUUCAAAAGUUCCAUUGCACAUCAAUUCAACCAUGUGCCUAUCUUUAGGUGUUAAUCCUUCAUAAAAUUGUGAAACCAAUCUCCAUGUUUCAAAACCAUGAUGAGGGCAAGUAUUAAGCAAGUCUCGAUACCUAUCCCAACAUUGGUAAAAUGUUUCACUUGGUUUUUGAGUGAAAAUAGUGAUUUGUCUUUUGAAAGAGUUGGUUCUGUGAGAUGGAAAUUUUUUUUUAAAAAAUUGUUGUUGCAUUUCAUCCCAAGCACGAAUGGAUCCUGACCUAAGAUUUUGUAGCCAUGUUUUAGCUUUAUCUUUUAAUGAAAAAGGAAAAAGCUUUAAUCUAAUGGUAUUCAUGCUACAAUUUAAAUCAUUAUAGGUGUUACAAACUUCUUUAAAUUCUCUCAAAUGCAAGUAUGGAUUUUCUAGAUCUAAGCCAUGAAAAGAAGGUAAAAGUUGAAUAAUGUCUGGCUUAAAAUUAAAAUGAGAUGUAUCAGGAGGGAAAACUAUGCAUGAGGGUGCACUUGUUCUUGUGGGAUUCAUGUGGUCUCUAAGUGUCCUAACACGGUUAUUCUCAUUAUGAAGUGACUGGUUAUCUUCUUCGGUCAUAUUUUCUGAAAAUGAUGAGGAUACCCUAGAAAGUCUACCACUUAAUGUACGUGACCAAACACUCAUGCACGUGUAGAAAGAGAAUAAAAGGAAGAAGAAAACAAAAGAAAAAGAAACAACACAAAAGAAACAAAGUUAGAUACAAGAAAAGUGAAAAGAAAGAAGAAAAAAAACUAAAAUUUGUACAAGAAUUUACCUCCCCGGCAACGGCGCCAAAAACUUGACACGACCAAAAGAUUGAUGUCUUCUCCCAAGUGCAGGAGUGUCGAAGUAAUAAAUAACCCGGCAAGAUCGGGGUCGAACCAUAGAGAGGUUAAUUGUAUAAAUUAUAAAUAACAAGACAACAACAACAACAAUAAUAACAAAAAUAACAACAACAACAAUAAUAAUAAUAAUAAUAGUAAUAGUAAUAAUAAUAUUAAUAAUAGUAAUAGUAAUAAUAAUAUUAAUAGUAGUAAUAAUAAUAAUAAUAAUAAUAAUAAUAGUAGUAGUAAUAAUAAUAUUAAUAGUAAUAAUAAUAAUAAUUAUUAUAAUAUUCAGUACGUGACGUUGUUAUACCUGAGAAUGAUCUAAAAGAUCGGGUCACAGGUUUCCAGCCUAUAUACUGAGUUUAUGAAAAAAAAUCAAAGAGAUAUAUUAUAUAAUAUAAACAGAUUUCUUAUGUGAAUGAACAAGGCAAGAUCAACAAUAUCAGGAUCCUUGAUCAAACACAGAGCAUACUUAACGUACAUAAAAUAUAACAAGAAUGUAAAUAAUAAUACUAAUAAUAUUAGUAAUAAUAAUAAUAAUAAUAAUAAAAAAAAAAGUAGGAAGAAAUAAAUGAGAACUUUGAGAUGGACGAUUAAUGUAAGGAUUAAACAAUAAUAAAGACAAAUGUCAAGGUUAGAGGACCCACCAAUGGUAUUUCAAACAAGUAUAGUAUAAACUCUUAUUACUCAAUUUGGAAAAAAACCACACACGAAGGAGGUUCCAGUCGGAUGAUUUGUCAUUAAUAGCUCAUUAUAAAUUAUUAACAUUAUCAUAUUAAUUAUCUUAUUUACAUAACACCAAACUUUUAAAUAUUGCCAGGAAUUCAUGAUGUUAACUGAUGUUAACAACAAAUCAAGUACCUUUCAUAGCUCAGGUGUAGGUAAUACUAUACGGUUGGGCUAUGAGAGUGCCAAGCAUUUGUUGUACCAAGUAUUAUACAACACAAAUUUAGAUUAACCAUUUAACAAGCAAGGUAUUAAGAAUUAGUAAGAUAAAAAGAUAAGACAUGUUAAUAUUAAACAUUAAGGUCCAUGUUGAGUUUACACCAUACUUGUUCUUACACCAUUAGUGUAACCUUUUCACCUUGACAUAAUAAACUUAGCUAAACAUAAUGAAGAAGAAAACAUAAAUAAACAAAACAAGAACAUAAAUAAAAUACAAGUUAACUAAGGAAAGGAAAGGAAAUGAAAAGCAUAAACAAGAAAUUAACAAAAGCAAAACUUAAGAAUUCAAAAAAUAUAAAGAGAGAAAUAAAGAGCAUGAACUUGAUCUGAACAACCAAGCCCUAAAUUACAUGGCAAAUGCCUCCUUUUAUAGGCCAAAAUUCGGAAUUAUUGAUUUGAUGACUAAUUGUUGAGUGGGUAGACAUCUUUUGACUAGGUGAAAAUCCUUAUCUUCUUGUCUUAAUAAAACAAAAAUGCUAACAUCAGAACGGGGUCCAGAUGUCCAAAUGAAAGUUCUAGGAAACUCUCUUAGCUUUCCAGGAAAAAAACGAUGAGGUCAUUUAGACUUCUAGAACUCAAGAUAUGGGCUGAACACUGAACAGUGUUGGGCUGUAGGAUAGAUUCAGACUUCUUCGUUGUUGCUAUAAUUUGGACUUGAAAACGGCCUUCUUAGAUCUUGAUGUCCAAAUAAAAGUUGUAGGCCUAUGUCUUAUCAAAUCUCUGUAAAAAGUUCAGAUCAUUUGGAUAUCUAGAACUCGAGAUAUGGGCUGAACACUGAAUAGUGUUGGGCUGCAGGACAGAUUCGGACUUCUCCUUUCUAAGCUUCACCUUUUUUUAUCUUCAAAAUUUCAGUAGUUGUAUGCAUCAAUCAAUCCUUUGAUUUAUGUGAUAUGCCUGCAUUUAAGAUGAACAUUUACCAUAUAUUAGGGUAUUUUAUAGUAUUAGACUUGUUAUUAUAAAACAUGCUUUAGUUAAGGAGUUAUUGAUACUUUAAGUGCAAAAUGAUGAUAGAAACCCUUGAUAAACAUGCACUUUUAAGUACUAAUUGUUGUAACCCAUUUUUAGGUUCCUAAAUAAAUCAAAUAAAAUAAAUAACCAAAGGAGGUUAGAAAAAUAACAGGAGGCAGAAGCGCUCAACAAAUGGUCAGAAAAAUCGGUCAAGGAGGUUAAAAAUACAAAGAUGGAUUUUUGACAAUAUAUUAUUGAAUGAUGAGAGCCCUAUUAAGAAGGAAAUUUUAAUUUUUAGGAGAAAAGCCCAAAUUUGGAUGUUUAUGGACUUAAUUGGAUUUUUAAUUGAAUUUAUAGAGGAUUUGAGUGCAAAACAAAUUGAUUUUUAAGUCAAUUUGGGCUUUAAUUAGAAGAAAUUUAAGUUCUGGGGCCAAAAUAUAUUUUUUAGGAAUUUAUUGGGUCAAAUCAGGGGCUUAAUUGCAUAAAUAUUGAAGUUUAAUGGCCAAUUAGGGGCUUAAUGUGAAAAUCCGAAACCAGGGACCAAAUUGGAAGAGGCGCGUAAAUGGAGGGGCUGAAAUUAUUCGGUUCAGGGGCCUAAUUGAAGAAAUUGGAAGUUUAUUAAUAAAUUGAGGGCUUAAUUGCACAAAUCAGAGGCCAAGGAUUAAAAUGAAAAACGCGGCAAACUUGAGGGGUGGAGACAAAAAUUGAAAAGGAUGCAAUUGAAAAGAACAAAAAUCAAUUGAGGACUGAUUUGGAAAACAUAUUCUGGUGCCAUUUUUUUAAAUGAAACGGCGCGUUUUAUCCAAAAUGACGCCGUUUCAUACAAAAAAAAAAAGGACCGAACGGUGCCGUUUUGAACGGCACUGUUCCUCUUCCUUCUUCCUCCCUGCAAGCGUUACAGGGGAAGAAAAAAAAUGGUUUUUUUCUUUAAACUUGUCACUCUCUCUCCUCGCGCCCACCAACCCGAUGCCCUACGCCUUGGACCACCGAAACCGAAGCUACUGGCCGACCGGCCGCUCGCCCCGCCGAAAGCAAGGGAGCGGCGCCUUGCUGUCGCGGGUGGUGGCCGACCAGCCGCCCGCGAAACCCGCUCCCCAGGCGCACUAAUGAAGGGCCCAACACACUUUCUCUCCUAUAAAUAGAGAAAGAAACCGAAGGGAGGAGAGGGAGAGGAGACCGAAGAGAGAGAAAGAACUAACGAAAUAGAGGGAGAGCAGCAACAAACCGAAAACAAAUAAACCGAAACCGAAAACCGAAAACCAAAAACAAACCGAAGCGGAGAAAGCCACUGAGAACGGAAGAAAAAAGAAAGAAAGGGGAAGAGGAAGAAACUUCUCACCGCCGUUAGGAUACACAGCGACACCGCCCGGAGCCGCCGCCCACGAGCCACGCCACCGCAGCACCGCCAGCGACCGCCUCCUCCACGCCAGGUAAAUUUUCUUCUUCUCCUUCGUUUGCAGGCGUUGCCUCCUGCAUGUAGAGUUAUGCAUGCAGGAGGCGGGGGGGGGGAAGAAAAUUAAUUCUUCCCCCCUGCUGGGUUGUUGACGCUGGGCCAGCCUGAUGCUGGCCCAGCCCCUGCACGUCUGGGCCGGUCCUGGCUCAGACUGAAGAAGAAUUUUUGGUUGGGUCGAGUUCGGCCCAACCUUUCCUUGUUGGGCUGAGUCCGGCCCGUUUAUUUGGGCCGGCCCAGCCUGAAUUAUUUUUAUAUUAUAUAUUAUAUAAUAUGUUAUAAUAUAUAUGUAUAUAUAUAAAAAUAUAUAAUAAUUAAAAAAUAUAUAUUUUGAAAAAUCUUAAAAAAUAUUGUUGAUUUUUCCGCCUAUUUUUGUCAAAGUGGUUCAAUGUUGGUUUGUAUUUUUAUACCGUAAAGAUACAAAACCAGUGUUAAAAAUACCCGGUUUUCGUCAAAAUAUCAAAGAUUUUCAGAAUAAAAAAUGUUUUUGCUUAAAAAAAAAAAUUCUAAAAAGUCCCUAAAAAUGUUGUUGAUUUUUCUGCAUAUUUUUAUCAAAGUGGAUUAAUAUUGGGUUGUAUUUUUAUACCUUAAGGAUACAAGCUCAGUAUUAAAAUACCUGAUUUUCGUCAAAAGCAUAAAAAAUAAUAUUUUCCAAAAAAAAUUGUUUUUGUUUAAAAAAACGGCCUAGUCUCUCCAAUAUAUAUAUAUAAAUAUUAUAACAUCAUAUUUUCACACAACAAAGAAAAUUUUCAAAACAAUAUAUGUAUUAGCAUGCAUUUUGGCUUUAAUAACCAGUUUAUUCAAGCCAUGAGAACUAGGCCAAUAUUUCAAAAAUUAAAAAAAAAUCUUUUUUGUUUUCUUUUAGUAUUUGGGAUUACGAAUUUAUACGUAAAACGUAUUUCUAAGUAUUGUUAAUAAAGUUUUAGUAUAGACGUUAGAACGGUUAUGAUUUUACCCGAAAAGAUAAAACCUUUCUUACCGAAGAGGAUUUUUCUUGAACCAUAGAUAGAACAACAACUAGGAAAACACGAAAAUAUCUUAGAUUUUAUCAGACAAUAAAACAAUGCAGCUUAGCUUAGGUAGGGCGUAUUUGGGGUGCUAAUACUUUCCCUUUACGCAACCAGUCCCCGUACCCGAUCUUUGAGACCAAUUAGGGUUCCUAGUGACCAAAAUACUAGGUGGCGACUCCCAUUCCAUUUUCUACCAAUAAAAGACAAUAUUUUUUUGUAUCCCUAUAGAUAUAUAUAGAUUUACAUGGUAGAUUAAGAAAAUGGAAACAACUAUAUAAUUUUCGCCGCGACGCCGCACACGUGCGACACUAAUCACAUAGUGAUCCCUUUCUUCUAAAUAAGAAUUUAGAAGAUUUUUCAUAAAUGGUUUGUGUGGAUUACCAUUGAAGGUCGGACAAUAAAACGGCGUGUGAUUUGUGAUAACCUGGCGUUUAAGAAAUUAUUCAAAAUCGAAAAAAAGAUUUUCAAGUAACAAAUCUCUAAGCAAUUCUAGAUCUAUCUAACAAGAUCUUAGAGACUCUAAAAUAAUUUUUUUUCACAAUUUCCAUUAUAUAUAUGAUAUUCAGGAGCCCAAAGGAUUAAUCAACUAUCAAUAGCAUAAUUGUUAAUAGAUUAAUAAUAUGCAAUUGUAAAUACACCGCAUUACUAAAUGCUGCCACGUUUGAUUUAAAAUUGGAGAAGUUUUUAAAAUUUUGAGUAGUACUUUAAGAUCAUUGGAAAAUGGCUAUAAAAUACAAUGCCAGAAUAACAAUAGCAAAUUCAUUUCCUUUUCAUUUUUAACCUCCAUCUCUACCAUUUUACACAAUAAAUUAACUUUGAAAAUCAACCUACAUGAUCAAUUCAAAUCCUAUAACAAACAAUACUUGCUUCAAACUAUCUUAAAAUUUCAUCCUUAAGUCAUAACAAUUAACAUGGACAAAAUGGAUUAAAGCCCAAGAGCAUUAAAUGCAGCAAAUGUUGGAAACAUGCUAUUGUUAAGAUAUUAGAUGUUGAGCGUGGUGAAAACAAGCUUUUUUACUAGUGUAAUUACAAUUCUUGUAAUAAAAUAUUAAUUUAUUAGUAAAAUCUUUGUAGCGGGGCAUUGCGUUGACGAGAGGUCUGCCUCCUAUGAGUAUGUAUUGGAAAGGGAUUUGGGUAUAAUCAUAAAAUUAUUAUUAUAAAAUUCAGGAAUUACCACUUAGUAUUAUAGUUACCAGAAAACUUAUGAUCUGUGAGAGUCUAGGUAAAAGACUAGUUGUGCAAGAGAAAGAUACAUCACCCCCAGUACAUCCUACCUAAGGUAAGUUACAUUGUUAUUUAAUUAUUUUUCUAGGUCGUUUUCUAUCUAUUGGUCUUGUAUUGGGUUUCCUAGUAGCCUGCAAUCAAUUACUAGGUGGCGACUCCAACGAACCAAUCAAAUCAAAGCAAAACGAGAAACGAAAAGUCGUCAAGCCCGAUGCCGCGCGGAUUUUCCGACGUGCGACAUUGUCUAUGGUUCAAGGUAGAUCUACCUACGUGAGGAAAUCUCUUCCAUAUCGGGUUAAAACCUAACUAUUCUAAAACCCAAAUUUUAGUAUCACAUUUAUUUCUUUGUAUCUUUAAUACUUAAGGGAAACUCUACUGUAUAGUUCUACACCUCCAAAUAUUAAAAUUUACAGCUAAACCUUAACAUUUUAAAUAUAAAGUGAACAAAAUGAUUGGUGAAAGGUUUUUUAUAUUUUUGCCAAACCCUAACGCAUAAUCAUGAAUUAGUUACAAUAACUAUUUUUGCAUUUUAGAACAUGAGAAAGAUACUUUUAUAUAUAUAUAUAUAUAUAUAUAUAUAAAGUGUGCAUAGAAAAAUUUUAAGGUUUGGUCAUACGGACGAAAAUAAAAUAUUUUUUAUUUUUUUAAAGAGGAAAUUAAUUUAAUUUUUUUUGUUGAAUUUUUUAAAUUUUCAAAAAAAAAUCAGAAAGGUUGUGGAGGAAACCAGAUAUUUUAAUAUCAGAUUUGUAUUUUACAAUGUUAUUAUACAACCCAAUAUUAUACAAAAUUAUUAGAAAAACAUGAGAAAAUCACAAAUAUUUUGAAAUGACCCUAGAUUUUUUUUUAAUUAUUAUUAAAUUUAAGUUGGGCUAGACUUGAAAUAGAUCCAUCCCGACUUAGUUAGGUUAGGUCGAGUAGCGGCCCAACAAACCCUUUCUCUUUUUUGUUAGUGGAUCAGACCCGACCUAGCUAUUUAAGUUGUUCAGUCAGACCUAUAUUAAUGGUAUUUUUUUCAUUUGCAUGUAUAAGAAAUUCUGCAUGCAAAUGAUUAUGAAGGUUUUGAAGGAGAAAAAAAAGAGGCAAACUUUCUUGGUUGUAGGAGAAGAGAGGUUGGUGGCGUUCCUAAACAUCCAAGGUACAUAUUUAAUAGAGAGCAUGGUAAUACUUUAAUAAUAUAUAUAUAUAUAUAUAUAUAUAUAUAUAUAUAUAUAUAUAUAUAUAUAUGCGCGCGCGCCUGUAGAAAAUAAAUAAAUUAAUUGAUAUUUGUAUUUUUUUUGUAAGUGAUUUCAUGAUGUUUGGGUUGGUAGGUUGUUUAAGGAAGUUUUUAUGGUUUAUUUGUAGUUUUUGGUAAAAAAAAAAAAAAAAGAUAAAAAAUAGAUUUUUAAGCCAACUUUCCUUCAAAUUUUUAGGCCAUCGGAUUUUAGACAACAACUACUAGUAGGCAACAGGGUCUGAAUUUUCAACUUCGAAUCUCGCAACAGAGCAAGUAAUUAAGAAACAAGGAGAGUGAAGAUGGCGAGAAAAGUUGCAGUCCGCCAAUUGUGGGGAUGGUGAUGGCAGAGUGUGCACAAGCUGGGUGUAUAAUAUUAGGCAAAGCAGCCAUGUCAAAUGGCAUGAUAUUUUUUUUUUGUAUGAAGAAAUUUGCACCAUAAAUAGAAGAUAAUAAAUAAAAAACGAAUCUAUAUAAAAACAUACAUCAAAAUGGAUUAAUUGAGGACAUUAAUACAGUGUGUUCCACCUUAUCUUCUUGAAUCAAUCAUAACCACUGAAAAUGAGGUGAUAUAAAGAUACCAACGAAUCUAUAGGAAAACAUCACCAUCUCUCGUGAAAAAAAAAAAAAAAACAAUGUUUAAAACAUGUUGCAUGAUCUCAAAUAUUCCUCUUUUUUUGUAUGAAGAAUUUUGCACCAUAAAUAAAAGAUAAUAAAAAGACCGACGAAUCUAUAGAAAAACAUAUGUCAAAAUGGAUUAAUUGAGGACAUUAAUAUAUACUUGAAGAGCUAACUUGACAACCAAAUAAUAUAUUUAUCAACGUAAAUUGUGCUAAAGCAAUAUCACUAUAUAUAACUUGCUAGUUGGUUUUAUUUUUCACAAAAAAAAUCAUUCUAUACCACAAUGGCUUCAUCACCCUCUUCUCUAGUUUUCAAAGUUCACAGACGUGAACCAGAGCUGAUCAAACCAGCGAAGCCGACCCCACAUGAGUUCAAACUGUUAUCCGACAUUGAUGACGAAGAAGGGCUUCGAUUCCACAUUCCACUCAUACAAUUCUAUCGCCACAAUCCCUCAGUGCACGGGAAAGACCCCGUCAAGGUCAUCAGAGAGGCAAUUGCUAAGACAUUAGUGUUUUACUAUCCAUUUGCCGGUAGGCUGAGGGAAGGGCAUAACCGCAAGCUCAUGGUGGAAUGCACUGGCGAGGGUAUCUUGUUUAUAGAGGCUGACGCUGAUGUUACACUUGAGCAGUUUGGUGAUCCACUUCAACCUCCAUUUCCUUGCUUGGAGGACCUCCUCUUCGAUGUGCCUGGCUCUAGCGGGGUGCUACACUGCCCUCUGUUACUUAUUCAGGUAAUUUUUCUGUAUUUUUUUCCCGCAGUUGUUAUGGUUACUAUAAAAUUACUUUCAAAAUUUUAUUAAAACAAUGAUCUCAUAAUUUUAAUUUCAAAUCGUAAUCUUUCUUGUUAGUGCAAGUUGAGGAGGAAAAAGUCACAUCAUAUAUGUUAUAUAUAUUAGGUUUAAAAUUAUGUUCCUGCUUUGUUGUGUUGAUGAUCUAAAAAUUCCAAUCCACUAGUCAAAUAGGCAUAAUUCGCUAAUACAUCCACUCAUGAAAUCAUCUAACAAUCAUCUACGUAUUUGCUGUCUAAUUUAUUAUGCAAAUUGGCAGGUGUCACGGCUCAAGUGUGGUGGUUUUCUCUUUGCUCUCCGCCUCAACCAUACCAUGAGUGAUGGCCAAGGAUUAGUGCAAUUCAUGGCAGCGGUGGCUGAGAUGGCUCGCGGAGCCAACGCCCCAUCUGUCCCUCCUGUGUGGGAAAGACAUGUCCUUAAUGCAACUGACCCACCUCGAGUUACAUGCAGACACCGAGCGUACGAGGAGGUAGCUGGCUCCACGAGCUCAAUUCUUACACAAGAUCAUCUGGUUCAUCGUUCAUUUUUCUUUAGCCCUUCAGAUAUAACUGCUCUUCGAAGAUUGGUCCCACCUCACCUC
RNAcentral lists this long non-coding RNA (25929 nucleotides) under Populus tremula. RNAcentral's name for it is "long non-coding RNA (PTRE_LNC000827)". The stretch from base 18667 to 18824 matches the Rfam family "MIR2912 microRNA precursor family". Lineage: Eukaryota; Viridiplantae; Streptophyta; Magnoliopsida; Malpighiales; Salicaceae. The record is from RNAcentral.